AGGCCCUGUCUGCGCUGUACAAUCAAAGCAGUUUCAUACCAAUUUAAAUAGUGGUUUAAACGUUCCUCUUCCUAGGGAAUUCUGGGAAUUGUAGCUCUGUGAGGGGAAUAGGGGCCUCCUAAUAGCACCCUUCACAAGCUACAGUUCCCAGGAUGCUUUGGGGAAAAGUUAUGACGGAUAGUGCUUUAAACAUGAGGAAAAGGGAACUCAGGUGUGUGUAUAUACUUGCCUGCUCAGACAAAAAAAAAUGCCAUGAUGGCACAUUGCCCCUAGGCCUCAUGCACACAAUUAUGUCAUAGAGCAUGGUUAUUAAAAGGGAUUCUGUGCUGGUGGAGUUUAUUAAGCAUUAAGCUGGCCACUCGACACACCAGUUAUUAGUGCUGGGAAUAACUGCGUGGAAAGUGUUGCCAUGAUCAAAGGCGCGCAUAAUUUUGGUGGCAAAUGCUUACUCCAGCCACAGGCCUUCAUUAGCCGUCCCUGCCUGGAGCCAUUUCGGUGGUUUCGGCAGGGCAGCAAAGGCCUAAUCUGGCUUUAAGAGCUACUCUCGCCCUAUAGCUAGCCCUGAGAAAGAUUAGUUCUGUGAGGGUGUCAAGUUUUAGGGAUCUCUCAACACCCUCAGAGGACUGUAAUUCAUGAGGUGGGGGCUAUGAAAUCCUAUGUAACACUUUUCAUAGACCACUUUUCCUCAAAGGAGUUCAAGGUGGCAUGUGUGGUUCUUCCCUGCUCUCCAUUUUGAUCCUCACAACAACCUUGUGAGGUAGGUUAGGUUGAGUGGCAGUGACUGGCCCAAGAUCAUACAGUGAGUUUUAUGACUGAGUGGGGAUUGAACCCCUUUAUGGCAGUAUUCCGACCCCUCCCCCCAACCACAAACCCAUUGUAAAGGAAAGGCCCUGUAUUCGACACCGUUUUAAAGAUAAAGGACCAUUAAGAAGGGAGAACAAGAGCAUUUUUUGGAAAUUCCCCAUCAGCUGUUAUUUAUUUGGUUGAUUGCACUUUACGCAAAAUACCUCGAAGCGAUUUCACAGAUCAAACAAACAAUUAAAAGCAAUCUCAUAUAUAAAAACAACUUCAAAUGCAGUGCAGAUAUCUGCUGACAGCAAACAGUGUUAGAAACUCAGAUAUAUAAGCUAGGUGCCAAAUGGCUCCUUAAACCAGGGUUACAGCUGCCAAAGUGGAAUGGCUAGUUGCCAUUUUGGGGCCAAAUGUAUUUUUCAAUAUAACUUCUUGGUUCCUGAAAUUCAUUCUGAUUGUGAAGAUAAAAUAUAAUGGGGAGAAUUCUACAUGGUGCGUUGCCAGUGUUUCAAAACAGUCAAGAUCCACGGAUCCCCAGGCAUGCGCCUCCAGAUGGUGGAGACAUCAGGUGCCAUCCUGGCAGCCGGGCAUCUUCACUUGGUCACAAGUGGCCAAUAGCCAGGUGCAAAAUGCAAAUUUCGAAUGCUGCUGAGGAGGCACACAGGGCAUCUGGUCACUGCGUUACUCUGAUAAAAUGUUAUUUCUAUUACAAAUUUAAUAAGAUUUCAUAUAAAUUUCAUAUAAACCAGCAUUUGAAAAAAAUUAUGUAAGUCUGUGCCCCCUUUUUUGUCGUCUUUUUGAUAUGCACUUCUCUUUUCACCCUAACCAGGCAAACUGGUGAAUUCUGGGCUCACCUAGUGUGGUGGUUGUGGGAACACAGCCAGCAGUUGCUAAGCAACUACAGUAUAAGGAAAGCAUCUGAAACACCCAACACUUCUCUGGGCAAAAAUGAAAAGAGUGCUCCAGCAUAGAGCUUUAAACUGUGGGGUGUGCCUGGAAAGCGUGGAGGAAAGGUAGGUAUAGCUAAACCCCGGAUCUUUACUGCUGAAUCAGAGCAAACGUCAGUAGGGGUUUUCCACACACUGACAUUUGCUCUGAUUCAGCCUUACUCCAGAAAAACAAAAAAUGGAUUAGCUGCAUUUUAAAGUGCUCCUUGAAAGCCCUACCCCUCUUCCCAUGUGAAUCGAGAGAGGAAUAGGCCAUGGAUAGUCGUUGAUGCUCUCUGGACAUGUUCAGAGGCACUAUCGUUAUUACUUCACAUGGGCUGGUUGAUGCAUUCCAUUCCCUGGCAUUCCUGGGACCUGGCAAUGCUCCAUGGCAGGGGUAAGCAACCUCCUCCUCCCCACCCCUGGAAGGGUUGCAUUCCAUCUGUAAUAAUCUUGCACAUGCCACUCCACACACCCCUAUUGCCCAUUUCUGUCUCUCUGGAGAGGGCGGGUGCGUGUUAUGGUGAUGAGUGACCUUAACUUUUUUUCUCUCUCCCUGCCACCCGCAUGAAAUUAGAUCUAGGGCUCCUCAGAAUCCUGGAGCACAGAUUGCCCACCUGGUUCUAUGCCACGGUGAGGCCAAAAGAGAGAGAGCUCAGCCAGAAUCGAUUCCCCAUUUUGCCCUCUUGCGUGUUAUGUAAGCAACAGGAAUUCCAUGGGGCAUCUCUGCCAGCCAGUACAGGCCUCAUGUCAUCCUUUAGCUACCUAAUCCAGGGCCAGGCACCUUGAAAUACAGUACUCUAGCUGUUCCUGCGUGGAAGGAACCAUCUUGUCCUUCUGAGUCUUCAUGGAAACCUGCACCUGAGACGAGGGAGGAAGAGAGAUUGCCUAAAGCCUUAGCAAAAGCUGGUGGAGACAUCGUUUCUGCGCUCAGCACUUUUUUAAUGUUGUCAGGCAGGCAGGAACCCAGGGAUUGGGGCUCCUGGCACACAGCAGACAAUGGCAAGGCUGCCCGACAUGGAGACUGCGCAAGAUUGCAGCCUUUCCUCAUCCCAGAGGAUCAGGGCAGGGGUGGGUCUGCUAUGAAACUAAUGAAGCUUAAGCUUCGGGGCCUCUAAUCCUGGAGGGGCCUCAGAAGUUGACCUUAGUCCACAUUGUUUAAAAUUUUUGGGUCGCAUGACUCCAUUAUAAUUUUAAAAAAUAACUGCAGCAUUCCUAAAAGCGUAUGGUCUGCCUUGCAGAAUGAAUCUCUGGCAACAUGCCUUCCCCUUGGCCACAUUGGGCGGAUCCCUGACCAAGAGCUCUUGAAGCUGUCCAGUUGUGUAGCUGAAGAAAUAGCAGCCAAGAGAAUUCACAAAAGCUUAGAAAAUAACUUUUUGGACAUCAGAGCAGCCUUCAGACAGGCUUCAGAGGUGCAUAUAUUAAACAGUCUACAUUUGUCAGGAAAGGUCAAGGAGCACCGGAUUUCACUGAAAUUCAGAGGCAAACCACACACCCUCUGGAUGGAAAAACAAUUAUUUUGAAGACUAGAAUGGUAUGCUGUUGCCACCUAGUGAUCAAAUCUGUGUAUAGCGCCUCUGUAGCCCUGCAGAAGGAAUGGAAUGUGUGUGUAGUUUCUCGCAUUGAACUUCUCCACUGGCAAAAGACAUGUAGGGCAGUGGGGGAAUCAGUAUUGCCAGAUGCAUUUGCUGUGCAUGGGAUUUGAACAAGAACUAUACUAGCUCCAGAGUAGAAAGCUGGAAUGUACAGCACGAAGUGAGGAAAGCACCAUUUCCCCAUCUGGAUGACUAGGUCUCUGCCAGGUCCGUUCUGUUUUGUUUUCAAAGGAAGGGCUCAUCCACACUUCCACUUGUCCUCUGCUUUGAAAGCAUGGGUCCAAGAGGUUUUGCCUUUGCCCCACUGCUUUCCCCAGGAAAACCUGCUCUUUAGAGCUAAAUUGGAGCAAAUGGCAAUCCACAGAAAACCCGAUUGCUGUUUGUUCCAAUUCAGCGCUAAAGAGUGGGAAGAAGUGGAGGGGGAAACAGAGGUGUGGCUAAGCCCUAAGUUUCUUCUCUUUUUGCAAAGCAUAUUUGUAUGUCAUUUUUCACUCUUACAUGCGUUUUUAUGCACCCUUUACCCUAGCCUAUGCACUGGGCUGAAAACUGCAUUGCAUACUUUGGAGCAGUGUGAAUUCCAAAGGGGCGGGUGGGUUUCGGCUCUUGUAGUCUUUUUAAAAAAGACUACAAUUCACUAUGCAUGGCUUGAAAUGCAAACUGAAUUGAAUUUGUCCCCCUUCUGUGACGGAACUCCAAAUACCGAGUGGGCAGCCCACCUAUCAAAUUUGGCCUGCAAGGCGUAGGGAAGACUGGCCCUAUGAGUUUCCCCACCCCUGCACUACAGAACGGUCCCCCUAUCGCUGCUCCUUUAAGGUCUGUGGUGUUUGUUAGUCCUUCAGCCACAAGACAAGGGCAGCCCAGUUUGAGUGCACCGUCCCUUGAGAGCUAUGUUCAUAAUAGCUCCCCUUCCCUUGUAAGGCUGUAGAAAACCUACUCUCAGAAAAAAGCCCAAAGCAGAGUACAGCAGAGCAAGUGCCUUGAUAGAAUGAAGGAUGACCUUAAUCUCCAUCUCCUUGGUGUCAGCCGGGGUCAUUGCAUAGCUCUGUUCCCUCACCAGCUGUGGUCAAAUACAGAGGAAGGUGCAUAGCCAGGCUUUCUUGCUUAUGGGUAGCAGCAGAACAGGAGCAGGCAACCUUUUCCAGCCAGAGGCUCACACUCCCUUCCAUGUACCACCCAGCACAUCCACACACACUUCUACUCACACACUUCUACAAACACAUACAUAAGAACCAUGGACAACAAGUGGAAACAGUUGGUAACCGCCUUCAAUUUUAACCUAAAGAUUGCCACCUGUCCAGUUUUAAUUUUAAUUUUAAUUUGUUUGAAUUAAUUGUGGGACAUAUCUUAAUUUAUUGAUCGCUUGUUUUUAUGCAUUGUCUUACUUGUAUGAUGUUAGCUGCUCUGAGCCCG
RNAcentral lists this long non-coding RNA (4723 nucleotides) under Podarcis lilfordi (Lilford's wall lizard). The record is from RNAcentral. Lineage: Eukaryota; Metazoa; Chordata; Lepidosauria; Squamata; Lacertidae.